UUCUUCAUAGAGAGCCUCCAUGAUUCAAUCAUUGAGUCACAAUAGGUAAGCAACUGAGUAAUAUUAUAAUUUUUGCAUAAUAAAAUCUAAUGUUGUAAUGAUUUUCGGCCAACACUUGUUUCAGUUGCAGGUUGAUACUUGUUCACAGCUCCACAAAUACAAUGUCCAUUUCUGCAGUGUGGUUGAUAUGGAAAGCAGUAAACCUCACACUGCUUCCAAUCAUUACACGCAUGUUGAGCUGAUACUUCCAAGCAUGGUGAACCUUUAACAAAAUCAAAUGUCAUUUUUAGGCUCAAUGUAGUACCAUAGAUUCAAAAAUAAAUAGGGAUGAUCAAGGAUUUAAUUAUGGUGAGAGAAAAAAACAAACAAAUAAUAACUUAUAAUAAGUCAAUAAAUAAAUACUUAUAUAAUAUAGCAUAUUAUGAAAAUAUAUUAGGUCAAGUGUAUUAAGCCUAAUUCUUUUAAAGAAAAAGUGAUUUACUCGUACUCAUUAGAAGAAAGAGAAGACAAUCUCGACUCCCUUUUUCUUCAUAUAAAAAAGUGGAAGAUUACUCGUAUAAGAAAUUUAUGUAACAUCUAGUUAUGUUGAAAUCUUUGCACCAAAUAGUAACCGAAGAUUAGAGGGUUUUUUUUUUUUUGAAAAAAAAACAAAAUCAAACAACUUUAGUGACAAAAAAGGGAGUUUGAUGACUCUAUAUACGAAAGAUUAAAAAAAACAUAGGAGAUACUGAAUGGACCAAGAUGAAUGAAGAUCACCAUACCAAUUACAGCCAACACUAUGUAGACCAAGAAAAUUGAAGUUAGGGAAAUCUUUCUCAUAUUAUCUAGUUCCAAAGACUAAC
RNAcentral lists this long non-coding RNA (842 nucleotides) under Nicotiana tabacum (common tobacco). RNAcentral's name for it is "long non-coding RNA (NTAB_LNC015640)". Lineage: Eukaryota; Viridiplantae; Streptophyta; Magnoliopsida; Solanales; Solanaceae. The record is from RNAcentral.